UCUUUUUCACAAACAACACAGGAGCACCCCAGGGCGAGAAACUCGAUCGUGCAAAUCCUCUUUCAGUUAAUUCUUGUAACUGAGUUUUCAAUUCUUUUAACUCUAUUGGUGUCAUUCUGUAUGAAGCUAUCGAUAUCGGCAUUGUACCUGGUAUUAAUUCGAUGCCAAAUUCAACCUCUCAGAUCUGUGGUAAGCCCGAUAACUUUUAAGGAAACACAUCUGGAUACUCAAACACAACUGAC
Molecule: long non-coding RNA, 242 nt
Filed under: Gossypium barbadense (sea-island cotton)
Lineage: Eukaryota; Viridiplantae; Streptophyta; Magnoliopsida; Malvales; Malvaceae
Description: long non-coding RNA (GBAR_LNC008346)
Source: RNAcentral